AGGAAAUAGAUACCCGGGUAGUCCACGCUGUAAACGAUGGAUACUAGGUGUAGCAGGUAUCGACCCCUGCUGUGCCGCAGCUAACGCAAUAAGUAUCCCGCCUGGGGAGUAUGGCCGCAAGGUUGAAACUCAAAGGAAUUGACGGGGGCCCGCACAAGCGGUGGAGGAUGUGGUUUAAUUCGACGCAACGCGAAGAACCUUACCAAGGCUUGACAUCCACUGAAUCUUGUAGAAAUACAGGAGUGCCCGAAAGGGAGCAGUGAGACAGGUGGUGCAUGGCUGUCGUCAGCUCGUGUCGUGAGAUGUUGGGUUAAGUCCCGCAACGAGCGCAACCCUCGACGUUAGUUACCAUCAUUCAGUUGGGGACUCUAACGUGACUGCCGGUGAUAAGCCGGAGGAAGGUGAGGACGACGUCAAGUCAUCAUGCCCCUUACGUCUUGGGCUACACACGUCCUACAAUGGCAUAGACAAAGGGCUGCAAGACCGCGAGGUUGAGCGAAUCUCAUAAACUAUGUCUCAGUUCGGA
RNAcentral lists this ribosomal RNA (526 nucleotides) under uncultured bacterium. Its description in RNAcentral is "bacterial SSU rRNA". It matches the Rfam family "Bacterial small subunit ribosomal RNA", at positions 774 to 1297 of the family's 1533-position model. The record is from RNAcentral.